Molecule: unclassified non-coding RNA, 405 nt
Filed under: soil metagenome
Description: partial contains 5.8S ribosomal RNA, internal transcribed spacer 2, and large subunit ribosomal RNA
Rfam family: 5.8S ribosomal RNA (bases 1-121)
Source: RNAcentral
GAUGAAGAACGCAGCGAAAUGCGAUAAGUAAUGUGAAUUGCAGAAUUCAGUGAAUCAUCGAAUCUUUGAACGCACCUUGCGCCCUUUGGCUAUUCUGAAGGGCAUGCCUGUUUGAGUAUCGUGAACACCUCAACUCUUUAUGGUUUUCCAUGAUGAGCUUGGACUCUGGGGGUUUUGCUGGCUCACAGUCGGCUCCUCUAAAAUGAAUCAGCUUACCAGUGUUUGGUGGGUAUCAUGGGUGUGAUAACUAUCUACGCUUGUGGUUUUUCCACCAGGUAACCUUCAGCAGUGGAGGUUCGCUGGAGCUCAUAGAUGUCUCUCCUCAGUGAGGACAGCCCUUUGAAUGUUUGAUCUCAAAUCAGGUAGGACUACCCGCUGAACUUAAGCAUAUCAAUAAGCGGAGGA